This 1369-nucleotide ribosomal RNA is filed under the name uncultured bacterium. RNAcentral's name for it is "bacterial SSU rRNA". It matches the Rfam family "Bacterial small subunit ribosomal RNA", at positions 28 to 1381 of the family's 1533-position model. The record is from RNAcentral.
GACGAACGCUGGCGGCGUGCCUAAUACAUGCAAGUAGAACGCUGAAGAGAGGAGCUUGCUCUUCUUGGAUGAGUUGCGAACGGGUGAGUAACGCGUAGGUAACCUGCCUUGUAGCGGGGGAUAACUAUUGGAAACGAUAGCUAAUACCGCAUAACAAUGGAUGACACAUGUCAUUUAUUUGAAAGGGGCAAUUGCUCCACUACAAGAUGGACCUGCGUUGUAUUAGCUAGUAGGUGAGGUAACGGCUCACCUAGGCGACGAUACAUAGCCGACCUGAGAGGGUGAUCGGCCACACUGGGACUGAGACACGGCCCAGACUCCUACGGGAGGCAGCAGUAGGGAAUCUUCGGCAAUGGGGGCAACCCUGACCGAGCAACGCCGCGUGAGUGAAGAAGGUUUUCGGAUCGUAAAGCUCUGUUGUAAGUCAAGAACGAGUGUGAGAGUGGAAAGUUCACACUGUGACGGUAGCUUACCAGAAAGGGACGGCUAACUACGUGCCAGCAGCCGCGGUAAUACGUAGGUCCCGAGCGUUGUCCGGAUUUAUUGGGCGUAAAGCGAGCGCAGGCGGUUUGAUAAGUCUGAAGUUAAAGGCUGUGGCUCAACCAUAGUUUGCUUUGGAAACUGUCAAACUUGAGUGCAGAAGGGGAGAGUGGAAUUCCAUGUGUAGCGGUGAAAUGCGUAGAUAUAUGGAGGAACACCGGUGGCGAAAGCGGCUCUCUGGUCUGUAACUGACGCUGAGGCUCGAAAGCGUGGGGAGCGAACAGGAUUAGAUACCCUGGUAGUCCACGCCGUAAACGAUGAGUGCUAGGUGUUGGAUCCUUUCCGGGAUUCAGUGCCGCAGCUAACGCAUUAAGCACUCCGCCCGGGGAGUACGACCGCAAGGUUGAAACUCAAAGGAAUUGACGGGGGCCCGCACAAGCGGUGGAGCAUGUGGUUUAAUUCGAAGCAACGCGAAGAACCUUACCAGGUCUUGGCAUCCCGAUGCUAUUUCUAGAGAUAGAAAGUUACUUCGGUACAUCGGUGACAGGUGGUGCAUGGUUGUCGUCAGCUCGUGUCGUGAGAUGUUGGGUUAAGUCCCGCAACGAGCGCAACCCCUAUUGUUAGUUGCCAUCAUUCAGUUGGGCACUCUAGCGAGACUGCCGGUAAUAAACCGGAGGAAGGUGGGGAUGACGUCAAAUCAUCAUGCCCCUUAUGACCUGGGCUACACACGUGCUACAAUGGUUGGUACAACGAGUUGCAAGUCGGUGACGGCAAGCUAAUCUCUUAAAGCCAAUCUCAGUUCGGAUUGUAGGCUGCAACUCGCCUACAUGAAGUCGGAAUCGCUAGUAAUCGCGGAUCAGCACGCCGCGGUGAAUACGUUCCCGGGCCU